GACGAACGCUGGCGGCGUGCCUAACACAUGCAAGUCGAGCGAGUUGAUUCUCUUCGGAGAUGAAGCUAGCGGCGGACGGGUGAGUAACACGUGGGCAACCUGCCUCAUAGAGGGGAAUAGCCUCCCGAAAGGGAGAUUAAUACCGCAUAAGAUUGUAGCUUCGCAUGAAGUAGCAAUUAAAGGAGUAAUCCGCUAUGAGAUGGGCCCGCGGCGCAUUAGCUAGUUGGUGAGGUAACGGCUCACCAAGGCGACGAUGCGUAGCCGACCUGAGAGGGUGAUCGGCCACAUUGGGACUGAGACACGGCCCAGACUCCUACGGGAGGCAGCAGUGGGGAAUAUUGCACAAUGGGGGAAACCCUGAUGCAGCAACGCCGCGUGAGUGAUGACGGCCUUCGGUUGUAAGACGUCUGUCUUCAGGACGAGUAAUAGACGGUACCGUACGAGGAGGAAGGACCGAACGGCCGUAACCGUACCGUACGCCACGGCAGCCGCCGGUAACG
Molecule: ribosomal RNA, 500 nt
Filed under: uncultured bacterium
Lineage: Bacteria
Description: bacterial SSU rRNA
Rfam family: Bacterial small subunit ribosomal RNA
Source: RNAcentral